RNAcentral lists this ribosomal RNA (587 nucleotides) under Saccharomyces cerevisiae (brewer's yeast). RNAcentral describes it as "LSU rRNA". It matches the Rfam family "Eukaryotic large subunit ribosomal RNA", at positions 51 to 652 of the family's 3401-position model. The record is from RNAcentral. Lineage: Eukaryota; Fungi; Ascomycota; Saccharomycetes; Saccharomycetales; Saccharomycetaceae.
CGGAGGAAAAGAAACCAACCGGGAUUGCCUUAGUAACGGCGAGUGAAGCGGCAAAAGCUCAAAUUUGAAAUCUGGUACCUUCGGUGCCCGAGUUGUAAUUUGGAGAGGGCAACUUUGGGGCCGUUCCUUGUCUAUGUUCCUUGGAACAGGACGUCAUAGAGGGUGAGAAUCCCGUGUGGCGAGGAGUGCGGUUCUUUGUAAAGUGCCUUCGAAGAGUCGAGUUGUUUGGGAAUGCAGCUCUAAGUGGGUGGUAAAUUCCAUCUAAAGCUAAAUAUUGGCGAGAGACCGAUAGCGAACAAGUACAGUGAUGGAAAGAUGAAAAGAACUUUGAAAAGAGAGUGAAAAAGUACGUGAAAUUGUUGAAAGGGAAGGGCAUUUGAUCAGACAUGGUGUUUUGUGCCCUCUGCUCCUUGUGGGUAGGGGAAUCUCGCAUUUCACUGGGCCAGCAUCAGUUUUGGUGGCAGGAUAAAUCCAUAGGAAUGUAGCUUGCCUCGGUAAGUAUUAUAGCCUGUGGGAAUACUGCCAGCUGGGACUGAGGACUGCGACGUAAGUCAAGGAUGCUGGCAUAAUGGUUAUAUGCCGCCCGU